Molecule: ribosomal RNA, 395 nt
Filed under: uncultured Nitrosomonadales bacterium
Lineage: Bacteria; Pseudomonadati; Pseudomonadota; Betaproteobacteria; Nitrosomonadales
Description: bacterial SSU rRNA
Rfam family: Bacterial small subunit ribosomal RNA
Source: RNAcentral
UAAUACGUAGGGUGCAAGCGUUAAUCGGAAUUACUGGGCGUAAAGGGUGCGCAGGCGGUACUGUAAGUCAGAUGUGAAAUCCCCGGGCUUAACCUGGGAAUUGCGUUUGAAACUACAGAACUAGAGUGUAAUAGAGGGAGACGGAAUUCCAUGUGUAGCAGUGAAAUGCGUAGAGAUAUGGAAGAACAUCGAUGGCGAAGGCAGUCUCCUGGAUUAACACUGACGCUCAUGCACGAAAGCGUGGGGAGCAAACAGGAUUAGAUACCCUGGUAGUCCACGCCCUAAACUAUGUCAACUAGUUGUUGGGCUUUAAAAAGCUUAGUAACGUAGCUAACGCGUGAAGUUGACCGCCUGGGGAGUACGGUCGCAAGAUUAAAACUCAAAUGAAUUGACGG